RNAcentral lists this ribosomal RNA (253 nucleotides) under uncultured bacterium. RNAcentral's name for it is "partial 16S ribosomal RNA". It matches the Rfam family "Bacterial small subunit ribosomal RNA", at positions 524 to 776 of the family's 1533-position model. The record is from RNAcentral.
UACGUAGGGGGCAAGUGUUGUCCGGAAUUAUUGGGCGUAAAGCGCGCGCAGGCGGUUCCUUAAGUCUGAUGUGAAAGCCCACGGCUUAACCGUGGAGGGUCAUUGGAAACUGGGGAACUUGAGUGCAGAAGAGGAGAGUGGAAUUCCACGUGUAGCGGUGAAAUGCGUAGAUAUGUGGAGGAACACCAGUGGCGAAGGCGACUCUCUGGUCUGUAACUGACGCUGAGGCGCGAAAGCGUGGGGAGCGAACAGG